Molecule: unclassified non-coding RNA, 684 nt
Filed under: Hevea brasiliensis (rubber tree)
Lineage: Eukaryota; Viridiplantae; Streptophyta; Magnoliopsida; Malpighiales; Euphorbiaceae
Source: RNAcentral
GCAACGACAGCUUCAAAAUCUUGCGUUUGACCCAAUGCAAAUGCAGCCUCGUGUGCUAGCAAAUUCGAAGCUCAGGCAGUCCUUCAAAAUCCUGUACACUUUCAGCAGCAACAUCCUUCUUCUGCUGCAUCCUGUACAUUGCUGUCCAAGUUAGAUUUGAGGACUUCAUUCGGUUGUGGAAGUAACCUAACAUCCUUACAAGCAAGCCAACUGCUUUUUUCUAUCAGAUGUACUUAAAUGAGCUCAAAUGGAAAGUUUUGAAGUUAUUGGAAUAAAAAGCUCAAAUUGGACUUAUUUGGACUUCAAUGAUAAGCUAAUAAGACUUAUUUUUAAAGAAAAAUGAUCGUUUACAGAACCACUGUUAAAUCAAUGAUGUCGCCUCAUCCAAUUCAGAAGAAUUUCAGUGCAAAUAAAGAUCUAAAAUGCAUUUGUUGCUUGUGACGUCUGUUCUACUCAUGGAUUUGUUGCAAAUAAAUAUCCUUUGACCUUAACGGUACAAAACACAACAAUAAGUUCCCCACAGUCAAGUUCUUUCAUGGAAGCACCUGGGGAUGAUUCCCUUAGUCAAGGAACAAUUGCGUAUUCAGCAAAAAUGCAGUGCAACUGCUAUCUCAAGUUGCCAAUUUACCAAAGCACCAAAGAAACUAAGUGAAUCAAUUUGAAAGCAACAUCAAAUUGGAAUUA